GCCUGGGUGGCUCAGUCGGUUAAGCAUCCGACUUCAACUCAGGUCAUGAUCUUGUGGUUUGUGGGUUCGAGCCCCACGUUGGGCA
RNAcentral lists this transfer RNA (85 nucleotides) under Felis catus (domestic cat). It matches the Rfam family "tRNA". Rfam says of the family: Transfer RNA (tRNA) molecules are approximately 80 nucleotides in length. Their secondary structure includes four short double-helical elements and three loops (D, anti-codon, and T loops). The record is from Rfam by way of RNAcentral. RNAcentral also lists the same sequence under 2 other names. Lineage: Eukaryota; Metazoa; Chordata; Mammalia; Carnivora; Felidae.